This is a long non-coding RNA of Myotis brandtii (Brandt's bat), 294 nucleotides long. RefSeq lists it as uncharacterized. The transcript is spliced from 2 exons. NCBI's taxonomy places the organism in Eukaryota, Metazoa, Chordata, Mammalia, Chiroptera, Vespertilionidae. The record is from RefSeq and is a predicted model, not a curated record.
AGGAAAAUGAAAAUGUGCUUCCGGUUUGUUCUUCUUUCAAGGGUGUCCUCUACCCCUCACCCAGAGCCAGCGCAUGGAACAAUGUCAACCCACAGUCUCAUCUGGGAGAAGAUUUGACAUGAGGGACCUGAAGCACAGAGAAUUUCAAUGAGUUUCCCAAGAUAAAGCAACGCAUGAAGACAGCUAAGAAAGAUCUAGAGACCAAGGCCUGGAAUCUGUUCACUGUAAGAUGCCCCCGCUUGUGUACUCAACAUGGAAUAGUAAGCACAGUAGAGGCAGGGAGGUACAAAAGGG